CCUACGGGAGGCAGCAGUGAGGAAUCUUGCGCAAUGGGGGAAACCCUGACGCAGCAAUACCGCGUGUGGGAUGAAGGCCUUCGGGUCGUAAACCACUUUUCUCGGGGACGAUAAUGACGGUACCCGAGGAAUAAGCCACGGCUAACUUCGUG
RNAcentral lists this ribosomal RNA (152 nucleotides) under uncultured bacterium. RNAcentral describes it as "partial 16S ribosomal RNA". It matches the Rfam family "Bacterial small subunit ribosomal RNA", at positions 338 to 507 of the family's 1533-position model. The record is from RNAcentral.